Molecule: unclassified non-coding RNA, 357 nt
Filed under: soil metagenome
Description: partial contains 5.8S ribosomal RNA, internal transcribed spacer 2, and large subunit ribosomal RNA
Rfam family: 5.8S ribosomal RNA (bases 1-119)
Source: RNAcentral
GAUGAAGAACGUAGUAAAUGCGAUAAGUAAUGUGAAUUGCAGAAUUCAGUGAAUCAUCGAAUCUUUGAACGCACAUUGCGCCCGCCAGUAUUCUGGCGGGCAUGCCUGUCCGAGCGUCAUUUCAACCCUCGAACCCCUCCGGGGGGUCGGCGUUGGGGACCUCGGGAGCCCCUAAGACGGGAUCCCGGCCCCGAAAUACAGUGGCGGUCUCGCCGCAGCCUCUCCUGCGCAGUAGUUUGCACAACUCGCACCGGGAGCGCGGCGCGUCCACGUCCGUAAAACACCCAACUUCUGAAAUGUUGACCUCGGAUCAGGUAGGAAUACCCGCUGAACUUAAGCAUAUCAAUAAGCGGAGGA